GAGAGGUGCUUGUAGCCACGAAAACUGCUAAUUUUCGUCUCCUCGGUUAGAUCCCGAGGGCCCCUCG
RNAcentral lists this transfer RNA (67 nucleotides) under Oxymonacanthus longirostris (harlequin filefish). RNAcentral describes it as "tRNA-Ser(AGY)". The record is from RNAcentral. Lineage: Eukaryota; Metazoa; Chordata; Actinopteri; Tetraodontiformes; Monacanthidae.